This 123-nucleotide non-coding RNA is filed under the name Stappia sp. RNAcentral's name for it is "TPP sequence". It matches the Rfam family "TPP riboswitch aptamer (THI element)". From Rfam's summary of the family: Vitamin B(1) in its active form thiamin pyrophosphate (TPP) is an essential coenzyme that is synthesised by coupling of pyrimidine and thiazole moieties in bacteria. The previously detected thiamin-regulatory element, thi box was extended, resulting in a new, highly conserved RNA secondary structure, the THI element, which is widely distributed in eubacteria and also occurs in some archaea. Analysis of operon structures identified a large number of new candidate thiamin-regulated genes, mostly transporters, in various prokaryotic organisms. Lineage: Bacteria; Pseudomonadati; Pseudomonadota; Alphaproteobacteria; Hyphomicrobiales; Stappiaceae. The record is from RNAcentral. RNAcentral also lists the same sequence under 1 other name.
CGCAUUCACCCGGGGGGUCCCGUCAAGGGGCUGAGAUUCUGAUAGCGCCAUGUGGCGCAGCGCAGUGACCCGAUGAACCUGAUCCAGUUCAUACUGGCGUAGGGAUGGUGUUCGGGCUGCGCG